CCUACGGGAGGCAGCAGUGAGGAAUAUUGGUCAAUGGGCGAGAGCCUGAACCAGCCAAGUCGCGUGAGGGAGUACUGCCCUAUGGGUUGUAAACCUCUUUUGUCGGGGAGCAAAAGCCGGACGUGUCCGGCUGUGAGAGUACCCGAAGAAAAAGCAUUGGCUAACCCCGUGCCAGCAGCCGCGGUAAUCCGGAGGAUGCGAGGGUUAUCCGGAUUUAUUGGGUUUAAAGGGUGCGCAGGGGGGUUUUUAAGUCAGCGGGAAAAUCGUGGGGCUCAACCCCUGCCAGCCGUUGAAACUGGGGAUCUAGAGUGUGCGAGAGGUAUGCGGAAUGCGUGGUGUAGCGGUGAAAUGCAUAGAUAUCACGCAGAACCCCGAUUGCGAAGGCAGCAUACCGGUGCACAACUGACGCUCAGGCACGAAAGCGUGGGUAUCGAACAGGAUUAGAUACCCCUGUAGUC
RNAcentral lists this ribosomal RNA (458 nucleotides) under uncultured bacterium. RNAcentral's name for it is "partial 16S ribosomal RNA". It matches the Rfam family "Bacterial small subunit ribosomal RNA", at positions 338 to 795 of the family's 1533-position model. The record is from RNAcentral.